GACGAACGCUGGCGGCGUGCCUAAUACAUGCAAGUAGAACGCUGAAGGAGGAGCUUGCUCUUCUGGAUGAGUUGCGAACGGGUGAGUAACGCGUAGGUAACCUGCCUGGUAGCGGGGGAUAACUAUUGGAAACGAUAGCUAAUACCGCAUAAGAGUAGAUGUUGCAUGACAUUUACUUAAAAUGUGCAAUUGCAUCACUACCAGAUGGACCUGCGUUGUAUUAGCUAGUUGGUGGGGUAACGGCUUAACAAGGCGACGAUACAUAGCCGACCUGGGAGGGGGAUGGGCCACACUGGGACUGAGACACGGCCCAGACUCCUACGGGAGGCAGCAGUCGGGAACCUUCGGCAAUGGACGGAAGUCUGACCGAGCAACGCCGCGUGAGUGAAGAAGGUUUUCGGAUCGUAAAGCUCUGUUGUAAGAGAAGAACGAGUGUGAGAGUGGAAAGUUCACACUGUGACGGUAUCUAACCAGAAAGGGACGGCUAACUACGUG
Molecule: ribosomal RNA, 495 nt
Filed under: uncultured bacterium
Lineage: Bacteria
Description: partial 16S ribosomal RNA
Rfam family: Bacterial small subunit ribosomal RNA
Source: RNAcentral